UACGUAGGGUCCGAGCGUUGUCCGGAAUUACUGGGCGUAAAGCGCGCGCAGGCGGCUUCCCAAGCGCCACGUGAAAGCCCCGGGCUCAAUCCGGGAGGGUCGCGGCGAACUGGGAGGCUUGAGGCCGGUAGAGGUGGGUGGAACUCCUGGUGGAGUGGUGAAAUGCGUAGAGAUCAGGAAGAACACCCGUGGCGAAGGCGGCCCACUGGGCCGGUGCUGACGCUGAGGCGCGAAGGCGUGGGGAGCGAACGGG
This 253-nucleotide ribosomal RNA is filed under the name uncultured bacterium. RNAcentral's name for it is "partial 16S ribosomal RNA". It matches the Rfam family "Bacterial small subunit ribosomal RNA", at positions 524 to 776 of the family's 1533-position model. The record is from RNAcentral.